CUUCCUGGAAGUGAUCAUUUUAAGCAUUUAUAUGGCAUCAAUCUUUUUCACUGUAUUGAUCCAAAUGAUUUCAAGCAUAAGAGAAUGGACAGAUCGGUUUUGUUUGUUUACAAAAAGGAAAAUGGGGCCAGUCAUGGCCAAGGUUAACAAAACAAAGGGCAAAGCUUAACUGGCUUAGUGUGGACUCCAAUCAUUGGAAAGACUGGGAAGAUGGUUCAGAUGAAGCCAUGUCUGAUUUUGAUUAUUUCUCUGAGAUGAUGAACCACAUGGGUGGUGAAGAGGAUGUAGAUUUAGCAGAUGGAGCAGAUGAUCAUUCACAAGACAGUGAUGAUGAAAAAAUGCCAGAUCUGGAGUAA
This 356-nucleotide long non-coding RNA is filed under the name Homo sapiens (human). RNAcentral's name for it is "non-protein coding lnc-BORCS7-2:1". Lineage: Eukaryota; Metazoa; Chordata; Mammalia; Primates; Hominidae. The record is from RNAcentral.